GGUCGCAUGGUCCAGUUGGUUAGGACGUUCGCCUGUCACGCGAAAGAUCACGGGUUCGAAUCCCGUUGUGACCG
RNAcentral lists this transfer RNA (74 nucleotides) under Weissella hellenica. RNAcentral describes it as "tRNA-Asp(gtc)". It matches the Rfam family "tRNA". Rfam says of the family: Transfer RNA (tRNA) molecules are approximately 80 nucleotides in length. Lineage: Bacteria; Bacillati; Bacillota; Bacilli; Lactobacillales; Lactobacillaceae. The record is from RNAcentral.